This 503-nucleotide ribosomal RNA is filed under the name uncultured bacterium. RNAcentral's name for it is "bacterial SSU rRNA". It matches the Rfam family "Bacterial small subunit ribosomal RNA", at positions 28 to 527 of the family's 1533-position model. The record is from RNAcentral.
GACGAACGCUGGCGGCGUGCCUAACACAUGCAAGUCGAGCGGAGAAACAAAAGAGCAGCUUGCUGCGAUUUGUUUCUUAGCGGCGGACGGGUGAGUAACGCGUGGGUAAUCUGCCUCAAACAGGGGGAUAACACAGGGAAACUUGUGCUAAUACCGCAUAAGACCCCACCAUGGCAUCAUGGAGAGGUCAAAGGAAGAAAUUCCGGUUUGAGAUGAGCCCGCGUCUGAUUAGCUAGUUGGUGAGGUAACGGCUCACCAAGGCGACGAUCAGUAGCCGAACUGAGAGGUUGAUCGGCCACAUUGGGACUGAGACACGGCCCAGACUCCUACGGGAGGCAGCAGUGGGGAAUAUUGCACAAUGGGGGAAACCCUGAUGCAGCGACGCCGCGUGAAGGAAGAAGGCCCUCGGGUUGUAAACUUCUUUGACCAGGGACGAAGAAAGUGACGGUACCUGGAGAACAAGCCACGGCUAACUACGUGCCAGCAGCCGCGGUAAAAGUACU